GACUCUCGGCAACGGAUAUCUUGGCUCUUGCAUCGAUGAAGAACGUAGCGAAAUGCGAUACUUGGCGUGAAUUGCAGAAUCCCGUGAACCAUCGAGUCUUUGAACGCAAGUUGCGCCUGAAGCCAUUAGGCUAAAGGCACGUCUGCUAGGGCGACACA
Molecule: ribosomal RNA, 158 nt
Filed under: Monotropastrum humile
Lineage: Eukaryota; Viridiplantae; Streptophyta; Magnoliopsida; Ericales; Ericaceae
Description: 5.8S ribosomal RNA
Rfam family: 5.8S ribosomal RNA
About the family: 5.8S ribosomal RNA (5.8S rRNA) is a component of the large subunit of the eukaryotic ribosome. It is transcribed by RNA polymerase I as part of the 45S precursor that also contains 18S and 28S rRNA.
Source: RNAcentral